This 225-nucleotide ribosomal RNA is filed under the name uncultured bacterium. Its description in RNAcentral is "partial 16S ribosomal RNA". It matches the Rfam family "Bacterial small subunit ribosomal RNA", at positions 109 to 334 of the family's 1533-position model. The record is from RNAcentral.
CGGAACACGUACGCAACCUUCCUUUAACUGGAGAAUAGCCCCUCGAAAGAGGGAUUAAUACUCCGUAACAUAUAGAUGUGGCAUCACAAUUAUAUUAUAGCUCCGGCGGUUAAAGAUGAGCGUGCGCCUGAUUAGAUAGUUGGUAGGGUAACGGCCUACCAAGUCUGCGAUCAGUAACUGGUGUGAGAGCACGACCAGUCACACGGGCACUGAGACACGGGCCCG